RNAcentral lists this non-coding RNA (208 nucleotides) under Xenorhabdus thuongxuanensis. The record is from RNAcentral. Lineage: Bacteria; Pseudomonadati; Pseudomonadota; Gammaproteobacteria; Enterobacterales; Morganellaceae.
AAAGCCCCGUCGUAGAAGAUUAGCCAGAUCACUACGUAGCGAGUCUUGCAUCUCCGGCGGUAACAAAGGAGAUGAAGCGUAGACAGCGAAACAUUCGAGCCGAAACCAAUAGGUGAACGUGAUAACUCCGAAAUUCACUGAUUGUGUUGUGCCGAUGGUAUCGUCGAACCAGCAGGCAAUAGUUUCUGAAUGGGCACACUGGCGAUUU